Molecule: ribosomal RNA, 2136 nt
Filed under: Paraprevotella xylaniphila YIT 11841
Lineage: Bacteria; Pseudomonadati; Bacteroidota; Bacteroidia; Bacteroidales; Prevotellaceae
Description: bacterial LSU rRNA
Rfam family: Bacterial large subunit ribosomal RNA
Source: RNAcentral
ACGUGUAAUCCUGUGUGAAUCAGCCGGGCCCAUCCGGCAAGGCUAAAUACUCGUAAGAGACCGAUAGUGAACCAGUACCGUGAGGGAAAGGUGAAAAGCACCCCUGUUAGGGGAGUGAAAAAGAUCCUGAAACCGUGCGCCUACAAGCGGUCGGAGCGCCCAUUGGGCGUGACGGCGUGCCUUUUGCAUAAUGAACCUACGAGUUGCCGUCACCGGCAAGGUGAAGGGGCAGGAGCCCCUCAGCCGCAGCGGAAGCGAGUCUUAAAAGGGCGCAGGAGUCGGUGGUGGCAGACGCGAAACCGAGUGAUCUACACUUGUCCAGGAUGAAGUCCCGGUAACACGGGAUGGAGGUCCGCACCAAUAAGCGUUGAAAAGCUUCUGGAUGAGGUGAGUGUAGGAGUGAAAGGCCAAUCAAACUCGGAGAUAGCUCGUACUCCCCGAAAGGCAUUUAGGUGCCGCCUGUGGAGUUCCCGGCGCGAGGUAGAGCGACUGAUAGGAUGCGAGGGCUUCACCGCCUGUCAAGUCCUGACAAACUCCGAAUGCGCGCCGGCCAAUCCAUGGAGUAAGGGCACGGGUGCUAAGGUCCGUGCCCGAGAGGAGAAGAAUCCAGACCACCGGCCAAGGUCCCGAAAUGCUGGUUAAGUUAGACUAACGCAGUCCGUCCCCCCAGACAGCUAGGAUGUUGGCUUGGAAGCAGCCAUUCAUUCAAAGAGUGCGUAACAGCUCACUAGUCGAGGGGAUGGGCGUGGAUAAUAAUCGGGUAUGAAACCAGUUACCGAAGCCGUGGGAUAUGAGAAUAUCGGUAGGGGAGCAUUCCAUCCUGCGUCGAAGGCGCCGCGCGAGCGGCUCUGGAGCGGAUGGAAAAGCAAAUGUAGGUAUAAGUAACGAUAAGGAGGGUGCGAUCCCCUCCCGCCGAAAGACCAAGGUUUCCUGAACAACGCCAAUCGGUUCAGGGUGAGUCGGUCCCUAAGCAUAAGCCUAAGGGCGAGGGCGAUGGAUCAAACGGUUAAUAUUCCGUUACUGUCUUGGUGUGUGACGCGGCGACGGAGAAGUGACACGGCCGCCCCCUGACGGAAAAGGGGGUUUAAGCGCAAAGGUUACGAGGGAGGCAGGCAAGCCCACCUCCCGAGCCGAAGCGCGAAAGUACGCGGCGCCCUUCUGGGCAACGCGACAGCGCCGGUAACCAUGCUCCCGAGAAAACCCGCUAAACUCCAGCACCAGGUCAUCCGUACCGUAAACGGACACACGUGGUCGGGUAGAACAUACUAAGGCGCUUGGGAGAUUCACGGUUAAGGAACUAGGCAAAUUGACCCCGUACCUUCGGAACAAGGGGUCCUCGUGUAAACGAGGCGCAGAGAAUAGGUCCAGGCAACUGUUUAACAAAAACACAGGGCUGUGCAAAUUCGAAAGAAGCCGUAUACAGCCUGACACCUGCCCGGUGCCGGAAGGUUAAGAGGAGGGCUCAUACUCAUGUAGAAGGCCCGAAUUGAAGCCCCGGUAAACGGCGGCCGUAACUAUAACGGUCCUAAGGUAGCGAAAUUCCUUGUCGGGUAAGUUCCGACCUGCACGAAUGGUGUAAUGAUCCGGACACUGUCUCAACCGUGAUCCCAGUGAAAUUGUAGUAUCGGUGAAGAUGCCGAUUACCCGCGAUGGGACGAAAAGACCCCGUGAACCUUUACUACAGCUUAACGUUGUACCCGGGCCGUCGAUGUGUAGGAUAGGCCGGAGGCGUAGAAUGAGGCACGCCAGUGCCUUUGGAGCCGUCGUUGAAAUACGGCCCUUUGGCCGUCUGGGUACUAACUUGUUGGAUACAAGGACCGCGUUUGGCGGGUAGUUUGACUGGGGUGGUCGCCUCCAAAAGCGUAACGGAGGCUCCUCAAGGUGCCCUCAGGCCGAUUGGUAACCGGCCGCAGAGUGUAAUGGCAAAAGGGCGCUUGACUGGGAGGCCGACAGGCCGCACAGGCAGGAAACUGGAGCAUAGUGAUCCGGCGGUUCCGCAUGGAAGGUCCGUCGCUCAAAGGAUAAAAGGUACUCCGGGGAUAACAGGCUGAUCCCUCCCAAGAGCUCAUAUCGACGGAGUGGUUUGGCACCUCGAUGUCGGCUCGUCACAUCCUGGGGCUGGAGAAGGUCCCAAGG